Molecule: RNA transcript, 589 nt
Organism: Nicotiana attenuata
Lineage: Eukaryota; Viridiplantae; Streptophyta; Magnoliopsida; Solanales; Solanaceae
Gene name: acid phosphatase 1 pseudogene
Source: RefSeq, a predicted model, not a curated record
UUAGGGACUAAUUUUAUUAACUCUCCAAAUCUGAAAUUAGAGGUGCAUUAUAGAAGGCGGAAAGAAUGGGACAGCUUUAGAUUUGAUUGGGCUAAUCCGGUCUCUCCUUCCAUAGCCUGAUCCUGAGGCUCUGAGACCCCAGCGAAGCAGAUUCCAGAUUCUGCUACCCUAUCAUGGCGUACGCUCAAAACUUUUUGGUAGCUGUUUUCAUCUCCUUCACCUUCGUCUCCACCUCAUUCUCUCAGUCUAUUCUCGGAAUCACCCCCGAAAUCUUAGAACUUUUAACCAUCAAUCGCCACCGUAAGAUUCCCAAAGACAAUAACAAUGCUUUGUUCUGUGAGAGCUGGCGGUUUACAGUGGAGACUAAUGACGCUGGUUUCUGGGCUUUGAUUCCCGAAAGGUGCGCUUCUUUCGUCCAGGACUACAUGAACGGCGAUCGUUACUCUUCAGAUUGCGGUGCGGUGGCUGACCUGUCGCUGGCAUUUGCCAAUACGGUUAAGGUUUCAAACGAUGGAAAGGACGCUUGGGUCUUCGACAUUGAUGAAACUUUGCUCUCCAACUUGCCCUACUAUGUCACCCAUGGCUUCGG